ACAACUGUCAUCUGUGCCUGUCAAUCAAGGAGUGAAGGAGCAUGUUGCAGGGUGUGUAUAACACUGUCUCUGGUGCCUGCAGAUCAGAAAUCGCCAUCAACACAAGUGUACCAACCUUCAAGUCAACGGUGAGGCACAACUAAAGGGUCUAAUCAGCUUCAUUUGGAUGCAAUUUUAAACUUAAACCCCAUCUCUAAAGGACUUAAGGAGCCAGAGUGAGAACAUCUGAGAACAUCAUCAUGUCUUAUGACUGGAUUCUGUCCAUCGAAAACCUGAGCGAUGUUCCAAAUCCAUGGAAGGGAAUCACUAUGAACCGCUGCAUAGUGGUGGCGCUGGUCAUACUGCUUGUGACCUCAGGAGUGAAUGAAGUGCAUGAAGCUGUGGACUGUUUUGUUGAAGAGACAGGUAUAAGGUCUUUCUUUAGAAGUCUGCAGGAUGGCUCAAUAACUCAGAUCUCCCUAUGGGAUAGUUUCAUGUGGUGGUGGGGAACUGAAGAGGUCGGAGUAAUAAGAAGGAGAAAAAAGCCGAUCGGCAACAAAGCAAUCCUGAAGCCCAAACCUAAAGCCUAAAACAUAUGCAGCUGCUGGAAGAUGAGUGAAAGGUCAGCGAGAGAGGUCGUCAGCUGUGACAACAGCAUGUUUCUGAAUAAAGAACACAAACAGUCCUCAGUAUACUCAGUAUAAUCAAUUUGGUAGUUUUUAGAGGAUAAUGGGAAACUUAAAUAAAACACAAAAUGUUGUUUUAUAGAAGAUAAGAGGUUUGCCCUGAUUAAACAACAUCUUUUUUAUUAUUCAGAUUACUUAUGAGAUAGAUUUACAUACAGAGGAAGAUGAUAAUAUUGAUGCUUGAAUUAUUAUAUCACAUCUGUUAACACACAUAUUUUUGUUUUCAAUAAAUCUGAUCAUUUGUAAGUGCGAGAA
Molecule: long non-coding RNA, 920 nt
Organism: Lates calcarifer (barramundi perch)
Lineage: Eukaryota; Metazoa; Chordata; Actinopteri; Centropomidae
Exons: 5
Source: RefSeq, a predicted model, not a curated record